Molecule: ribosomal RNA, 497 nt
Filed under: uncultured bacterium
Lineage: Bacteria
Description: partial 16S ribosomal RNA
Rfam family: Bacterial small subunit ribosomal RNA
Source: RNAcentral
GAUGAACGCUGGCGGCGUGCCUAACACAUGCAAGUCGAGCGAACAGACGAGGAGCUUGCUCCUUGCUCGUUAGCGGCGGACGGGCGAGUAACACGAGGAAAACCCACCUACAAGACUGGGACAACUUCGAGAAACCGGCGCUAAUACCGGAUAAUAUAUUGAUCCGCAUGGUUCAAUAGUGAAAGACGGUGUUCCUGUCACUUAUAGAUGGAUCCGCGCCGCUUUAGCUAGUUGGUAAGGUAACGGCUUACCAAGGCAACGAUGCGUAGCCGACCUGAGAGGGUGAUCGGCCCCACGGGAACUGGGCCUCGGUCCGGACUCCUGCGGGAGGCAGCAGUCGGGAAUCUUGCGCAGUGGGCGAAAGCCUGACGGUACACCGCGGCGUGAGUGAUGAAGGUCUUCGGAUCGUAAAACUCUCUUAUUAGGGAAGAACCAAUGUGUACGUAACUAUGCACGUCUUGACGGUACCUGGUCAAAAAGCCACGGCUAACUACGUG